AUUGGACGCUGGCGGCAGGCCUAACACAUGCAAGUCGGACGGUAGCACAGAGGAGCUUGCUCCUCGGGUGACGAGUGGCGGACGGGUGAGUAAUGUCUGGGGAUCUGCCCGAUAGAGGGGGAUAACCACUGGAAACGGUGGCUAAUACCGCAUAACGUCGCAAGACCAAAGAGGGGGCCCUUCGGGCCUCUCACUAUCGGUUGAACCCGGAUGGGAUUAGCUAGUAGGCGGGGUAAUGGCCCACCUAGGCGACGAUCCCUAGCUGGUCUGGGAGGAUGACCAGCCACACUGGAACUGAGACACGGUCCAGACUCCUACGGGAGGCAGCAGUGGGGAAUAUUGCACAAUGGGCGCAAGCCUGAUGCAGCCAUGCCGCGUGUAUGAAGAAGGCCUUCGGGUCGUAAAGUACUUUCAGCGGGGAGGAAGGCGGUGAGGUUAAUAACCUUGCCGAUUGACGUUACCCGCAGAAGAAGCACCGGCUAACUCCGUGCCAGCAGCCGCCGUAA
Molecule: ribosomal RNA, 506 nt
Filed under: uncultured bacterium
Lineage: Bacteria
Description: partial 16S ribosomal RNA
Rfam family: Bacterial small subunit ribosomal RNA
Source: RNAcentral